This 1172-nucleotide unclassified non-coding RNA is filed under the name Bombus terrestris (buff-tailed bumblebee). RNAcentral describes it as "misc RNA ENSBTSG00005031534.1". Lineage: Eukaryota; Metazoa; Arthropoda; Insecta; Hymenoptera; Apidae. The record is from RNAcentral.
GAACUGAGAAAACACCAUGGCCUGUUUAAUCUGGUAUUCGUCUUACGCCACCGAUGACGCAUACAAUACGUGAACAAACAACUUGAUGCGUGCGUCGCCGAAAUGUAGCAAGAUCGAAACUAAAGAGUAUUCCAUGUUAGAUAUACGUACAAGAUAUAACACUUUGGAAAGAAUGACGGAAAGAAGACAGCGCAUGGGCGUGCAUUACCGAUGAAACAGAAAGAAGAUGCAGGAAUAUAUAGACGUGAAAUAUCUUUGUGUAAGAGGAUGCAGGAAUAUAUAGAUGUGAAAUAUCUUUGUAUGUAUUAUAUACACGCGUGCACGUUUGGCUGUUUCCGCCUUUCGUUGUAAUGUAAUUACGGGAGAGGCUAGCAGUCGACGAAACCGGACAAGUUCUUUCUCCUCAACAUCCGUACGGCGCGGCACGGGAGCGUGCGUACCUGUUCUUCAGGGUCGCGAGUGAUGCAGCGGACGGACGAUGAUGGUGGAACGAACGGGCCGAUUCCACGAAGAUGAGGUCGAGGAACGGAGGAAGGCGAUGGUGAGAGGGAUACAUGUCUACGGAUACUCGGGACACGGCCAACUCCAAGGGAUUUUGCUUUGUGAUAAAUGACGCAGACUGCAUUUUCGAUCUCUUGUCGUUCUCUUGUUGUGCGUCGUAUCCAUUUUUUCAAACAAAUAAAAUUUGAAUAAGAAGAAUGCCUUCUUGUGAAAACAGGUUUUAGACCUUCUUAAAACUAAAUUUUAAUCUUUGGUACAAUGAAACGUGAAAAUAAAAUAUUUAGAAUAUACAGAGAGUUAAAAAUUAUAUGUUAGGAACAAAAGUAUUAUUUCUUACGAUCUAAGGUUUCAAAUAAAAUAAGUAUUCUUUCAGUAAUUUCCUAAUGAACUAACGUGUUCUUACGCUUACGAAAAAGGGAUGUUUGUGCAUUGUCAAUAGUCGAUGCAUCUUUAGCGGGAAGAAGUGGGCGCAACUGGUUCACGUGUCUUCUUACUGGUUCAUGUGUCUUGCAAAAUACGAAAGGUUAAGGCCAGUCGAUGCGUGAUAUUACAUUUCGUAACACCCUGUCAUGAUACGAAUAUAAAUUAAGGUAGUUUUAUGAGGAGAAAAACUGUUUGGAAAAGAUGCAAAAGACUGUUGUCGAGAAAGAAAUAUCGGUUUUGAAAUUUAG